Molecule: non-coding RNA, 1919 nt
Organism: Gasterosteus aculeatus aculeatus (three-spined stickleback)
Lineage: Eukaryota; Metazoa; Chordata; Actinopteri; Perciformes; Gasterosteidae
Source: RefSeq, a predicted model, not a curated record
CUGGUUUUCAGUCCAGAUGGCUGGCCAGGGCACCCGAGAGGACCCCCUCUUAUUGAUUUAGGGGGGAGAACAGAGAACCUGGCUUUGCUUUGGGCGCGGGCGAGCACCGACUGCACCGCGCAUGGCCGCUCCUCGGCUCCCCCCCUUCCUCCCGUUUCAUCCCCCUCUCAGGUUAUCGCCGCCGACCCGAGGGGAAGCGAUCAGGGGAAGUGCGAGGCGGCGGGAAGCCGGGGCGAGAUAUGAAUAUAAGUCGACUGAUUUAGCAGGUCGGAUGUAAAACGGGUCACACUUUUGCAGGUCUAAUCCCCUGUUCUCCGCCGGUGAAAUUGUGCGCUGAUAUGAGACGGUAUCGGCUGCCUGGAACCAAAUAGAGCCGGAGCGGUGCAGGUCUUUGUUAAUACAAAGCGCUGCUCAGCUAGUGAGCAGCCCAGAGAUGUGCAAGAUAAGAUUUGUAGAAACACAUGAAAGGGGACAUGGCUAUAAAUAUGUAUGCACCCCUUGGAGUGGAGCCCUUUCUGUUUGCCCAUUAGUACAGUUUUUGUGAUACUGUCUACCUAUUGCCAUGGCGGUGACACAUAUAGCAGUCAAUUAUGUUCCCCACAUUACAAUAGGAGGUAUAACUGACUGAACACACAGCCGGCGCUGCAUAAUGUGAAUAGUUGAAGGAAAUCAUACGGACAUCAUUCCUGCGAGAAGGGACACUGUUAGGGAAAGAAAUGAAAGGGAAACGUUGCAGAUCUGAGGAGUUUGACUCCAGCGCCGACACGGCGACUGAUGGCACACGGUAAACGGAGACCUCUGGGGAGGGGAGUGAUUAUUCAACCACUGGAGGGGUUACAUUUGAGGCGUUUUUCAAAGCGCUUGAAUGUUAAUAUUUAAAAUGUCCACAUUUUUAGAUUUAAAAGAAAGGAAAGAUCAGCUAUAAUUCCUUUACUUUGCAGGUGAAUAUUUUCCUCCCCAGCAGAGGCCCGUUGAUCACUGAACACGGAGCUCACUGCAGAGUAUUAGGACCUCAUAGCAGAUGAUAUUUGUCAAUAUUGUCGAUUAGCCCUGAAACGGAUCCCCUUCGGGGGGAGGUGAGGUAUCUGUAACCAGACGCCCCCGCGCACCAAGACGAGGUGCACCUCUGCGCGUGCUCUGGAAGACGACCACGUGCACCUUGUGCAGCAGUUCUCCUGCGUUGUGCACUAAUGAGCCUAACGAGCUGCUGUUUACCUCCUUCAGCUCUGCUGCCGACACCUGAGGCAUGCUGGGAGUUUUGUGUUGAGUCCUUGUCCAUGUGGUCCACAUGUGGGAUGAAGCAUGUGACUGUUCACCGAUUAGAAUCAAUUCUAAAUAUACCUUUAAACACAUGCUCCUCGGUGUGUGUGUGUGUGUGUGUGUGUGUGUGUGUGUGUGUGGUGAUAAUUGAAGCCCACUCGCUCCUGUGGGAGUCGGCUGACGUGAGCUUUAAUGCUUCAAGGUGUGUAUUGUUUGUAUCACACACAAACAUACACAAACAUGAAGCCAGUCUGUGGACCUGUGGAGGGAAACCAGAACCUUCUGAGAAAGAUCCUCCUGCAUCUCCUUCAGAGAAGAGAGGAACGUUCUUCACUUCCAUUCUCUUACUGAAGACAAGGUUUUCCGAGCAAGCGGAGAGGAGGAACCCCGGAGAAGAAGAGAGGGGCCGGCAGGCAUGUAGCAAGCCGAGCGAGAGGACGGCUUCCACCGGGCCGCCUGGCAGCUCAUUAGAGGCCGCGUCACAGCGGCGAGAAAGGAGAAGCGUCCUCUCUGCUUCGACGAAACCGACACCCUUUGCUGCGGCGUCUCUGGAGCCCCUCUGCGCGGCGUCAGGUCAGUCGCUCGCAUGAACCACGUCCGGGCCGCACGCGGCACCUAUCGGCUCGACCAAACAAAGGCCCGUCGCAAUUAAGGAGGCC